RNAcentral lists this ribosomal RNA (458 nucleotides) under uncultured bacterium. Its description in RNAcentral is "bacterial SSU rRNA". It matches the Rfam family "Bacterial small subunit ribosomal RNA", at positions 30 to 479 of the family's 1533-position model. The record is from RNAcentral.
AUUGAACGCUGGCGGCAUGCUUUACACAUGCAAGUCGAACGGCAGCACGGGCUUCGGCCUGGUGGCGAGUGGCGAACGGGUGAGUAAUGCAUCGGAACGUGCCCAUUUGUGGGGGAUAACGCGGCGAAAGUCGCGCUAAUACCGCAUACGCCCUGAGGGGGAAAGCGGGGGAUUCUUCGGAACCUCGCGCAAUUGGAGCGGCCGAUGUCAGAUUAGCUAGUUGGUAGGGUAAAGGCCUACCAAGGCGACGAUCUGUAGCGGGUCUGAGAGGAUGAUCCGCCACACUGGGACUGAGACACGGCCCAGACUCCUACGGGAGGCAGCAGUGGGGAAUAUUGGACAAUGGGCGAAAGCCUGAUCCAGCAAUGCCGCGUGUGUGAAGAAGGCCUGAGGGUUGUAAAGCACUUUCAAUCGUGAAGAAAAGUUGCAGGCUAAUACCCUGUGACCUUGACGUUAAC